This is a long non-coding RNA of Bactrocera tryoni, 441 nucleotides long. RefSeq lists it as uncharacterized. The record is from RefSeq and is a predicted model, not a curated record. The transcript has 3 exons. NCBI's taxonomy places the organism in Eukaryota, Metazoa, Arthropoda, Insecta, Diptera, Tephritidae.
AGUCGGAGCGUAUCGGACGCAACAGUAUUUACAACUACAGCGCACAGUGUAUAAGCAACGACUUGUGAGCAUUCAUCAGUACAAUAUCAAUAAAAUUUGCCCACUUACAUCACUGUCAAACAAGAGGAGCUGGAAACAUAUAAAUUGUUAAUAAAGCAUUAUAAAAAAUUAUAGAACCGUUAGCCGUUUAAUGAACGCUGAAAACCAACUAGUUUCCAGCUGGAUAUUACGAUUUCGACAGAUUGAAAGCCCAGCGGAGCUUAGAGCUGAACUGAAUUGCUUUCUAGUCCUAACUUAUAUUGAAGAUGUAUUAACAGUGGCCUAAGAAAAUUCAGCGCUUCAAGAUCGGCUCGACUUUCAGCGUUCACACUACUAACAAUAGGUACAUGAAUAUUUUAUAAACUUAAUUUUAAAAAUAAAUUCUGAAUUUUACACUUAAGU